GGCCCAUUAGCUCAGUUGGUUAGAGCGUCGUGCUAAUAACGCGAAGGUCGUGGGUUCGAUCCCCCCCCCCAUGGGCCA
RNAcentral lists this transfer RNA (78 nucleotides) under Trichonephila clavata. RNAcentral's name for it is "tRNA-Ile". It matches the Rfam family "tRNA". Rfam says of the family: Transfer RNA (tRNA) molecules are approximately 80 nucleotides in length. Their secondary structure includes four short double-helical elements and three loops (D, anti-codon, and T loops). Further hydrogen bonds mediate the characteristic L-shaped molecular structure. tRNAs have two regions of fundamental functional importance: the anti-codon, which is responsible for specific mRNA codon recognition, and the 3' end, to which the tRNAs corresponding amino acid is attached (by aminoacyl-tRNA synthetases). tRNAs cope with the degeneracy of the genetic code in two manners: having more than one tRNA (with a specific anti-codon) for a particular amino acid; and 'wobble' base-pairing, i.e. permitting non-standard base-pairing at the 3rd anti-codon position. Lineage: Eukaryota; Metazoa; Arthropoda; Arachnida; Araneae; Nephilidae. The record is from RNAcentral.